This 2197-nucleotide long non-coding RNA is filed under the name Homo sapiens (human). Its description in RNAcentral is "HSALNT0366718". Lineage: Eukaryota; Metazoa; Chordata; Mammalia; Primates; Hominidae. The record is from RNAcentral.
AAAUCUAUCCUUCACCAUCCUGCUCUACCAUAAUGAAAGCAGAGCCCAUAAAAUUUCUCCCUUGCCAGCUUAUAUGAUAAAUUUUGUCCCUAAAAGGCAGUGUGUAGUCUGGAGGAAAAAGGGUUUUUCUUCCUGGUUUUAUGAUACUUUCUCUCCUUUUGCUCCUAUGACUGUGGCUACCAGCUGCAUGUUUGCAUAACAUCCUGCGGUAUUUACCCUCCAGCAAGUUUUUGUUAGCUGUCCGGAUCCCUGUUACAUGCCUUCCGGUAUCUAGCUCCAGCACUCUGGAAUGAAAACUCUUCCUCCUGGCCAGUCACAGCGUGAGAUCCAUCCUCGCCAAUUUCAACUUGCUAGUUUUAGAACUGCCCUGUCCUAGGGCCACCCACAAUUGUUGAAUUGUCAUUUUAAACACCUUCAAAGACUAGAAGAAAUUAAUUCAUCGUGGAAAUAUUCAUUUUAUUCAGCACUUAGAAAUAACAGUUCUUGAUAAUAUUAUGAUUUAUAAUUUAUACAUGGUGUAUUUUAAUGAAUUGCAGGUGUUUAAGAAAUAAGUAACAUAGCAGGGCGCGGUGGCUCAUGCCUGUAAUCCCUCACGCCUACAAUCCCUCACGCCUGUAAUCUCAGCAGUUUGGGAGGCCGAGGUGGACAGAUUGCUUGCGGUAAGGAGUUUGAGACCAGCGUAGCCAACAUGGCGAAACCCCAUCUCUACGAAAAAUUAGCCAGGCAUGGUGGUGAGUGCCUGUAGUCCCAGCUACUUCGGAGGUGGAGGCCGAAGAAUUGCUUGAGCCUGGAAGGCUGAGAUCUCAGUGAGCCGAGACUGCCACUGCACGGGUGACAGAGCGAGCCUCUGUCUCAAAGAAAGAAAGAGUAUGUACCUGGAUAUGUAUUUUUAAAAUAAUGUAAAGAUUUAAAAAUAGUUCGAAGAACCUAAUUGUAUGGCUUUUGAAGCAACUAGAAGUAUGUUCUUUACAGAUGGUGGGAGUAAUGUUAUAUUAAGUUUGUGUAAGCUAUAACACUUAAGUGUUUAUAAGCAUGUUUAUAAGCUGGUGUUUACAAGCAUGUUUUUAUUUCCGAACAAAAUUCAAAAGAAGUUUGUCUUUGUAAAAAUUCAGAUGUGCACAGUUCUUGUUCCUCUCUGAAGAUAUUGGAAAUGUAUUGCUAAUACUGGUAAUAUAUAACAAUUUUUUUAUGAAUAGAUGACUUAUUUAAUAGUUACGUAUCUAAAUCUGAAUAUUUUCUAUAUAAUUUGUCUAUGGAAACAAAUAUUUAUACAAUUGUUCACAUAUUGCUCUUUUCUUUGUAAUGUUAUUCCUUCUAGGUAUAAAAUAUAGACGUUCUCAAGAAGAUUAGUGUUUGCAAUAGAAAGCUGGGCCAUUUGGCCACACCUGCAAAUGAUUAUUGGUUUUGCGGGAGACUGCAAUCCAUAAAAAAUUACUGGCAGAGUUUGAGAAUUUGUAUAAGAAAACAAAUUUUAUGAGAUGCAAAAUCAAUACUAUUAUACUAAUUUAAAUUUUGUAAUAGCAAAGCUAAUUCUUGUUACUUUUCAGUCUUUCAAUUCACUAAGAUAAUGAGUGUUACGCACUGAACACAUACAAAUGUAUUGCUGUGACUGAAUGAAGAGGACAAAUUAACAAAGCAAUUCCGAGGCCCUGGAAAUUGAUCAAAGGCUAAUAAUCAUUUGUGAACUAUUUAUUCUUGGAAAAACUGCUAGAGAUUCAAGGAAGAGUGCAGCAAAUUUGUAGUAAGUUUACCUAGUGCUGCUCCCGUGCCUUCUGCCCACCCACCACACCCAGCACAGUGAGUAACAGUUGCAGUUUUUACAGCUGGGGGAAAAUCAACAGUGUUUUUUGCCACAAGGACAGACUUGAUUAGCGGUCAGAGGUUGGGGCAUAGUGUAACAGACCACUGCUUUUCAACUGAAAGUGCUGAAUUUUGCAGGAAAUGAAUGAGAAAACCCCAUUUUUUGUUGUUUUUUAUUUUUUUUAGUCUGAGGUGUAGUCUCCUCUGGGGCAAGAACAGUGCCAGCCAUAAAUAUAACAAAAUCCUAAACAUGAGAGUGCAAUAGACCUCAUGACAUUAGCCCUCUACAUAUUCUUUAAAUUUUUUUUUAAAUUGACACAUUGUAAUUGUACAUAUUUAUGGGGUACAACUUGAUGUUCAAUACAUAUAUAUGUUACAUUAAAUAAUCAAAUCAGGG